RNAcentral lists this transfer RNA (58 nucleotides) under Planctomycetota bacterium. Its description in RNAcentral is "tRNA-Val". It matches the Rfam family "tRNA", at positions 8 to 61 of the family's 71-position model. Rfam says of the family: Transfer RNA (tRNA) molecules are approximately 80 nucleotides in length. Their secondary structure includes four short double-helical elements and three loops (D, anti-codon, and T loops). Lineage: Bacteria; Pseudomonadati; Planctomycetota. The record is from RNAcentral.
UUAGCUCAGUUGGUUAGAGCACUAGCUCGACAAGCUAGGGGCCACUGGUUCGAGUCCA